This 759-nucleotide ribosomal RNA is filed under the name uncultured cyanobacterium. RNAcentral's name for it is "bacterial SSU rRNA". It matches the Rfam family "Bacterial small subunit ribosomal RNA", at positions 8 to 796 of the family's 1533-position model. Lineage: Bacteria; Bacillati; Cyanobacteriota. The record is from RNAcentral.
AGAGUUUGAUCCUGGCUCAGGACGAACGCUGGCGGCGUGCCUAAUGCAUGCAAGUCGCACGGGUCUCCUUCGGGAGGCCAGUGGCGAACGGCUGAGGAACACGUACGAAUCUACUCCGGUGUGGGGGACAACACGGCGAAAGCCGUGCUAAUCCCGCAUACGCUCCGAGGAGGAAAGCGUGGUAACACACGCGCACCGGAUUGAGCGUGCGGCCCAUCAGGUAGUUGGUGUGGUAAUGGCGCACCAAGCCCGUGACGGGUAGCCGGCCUGAGAGGGUGACCGGCCACACUGGGACUGAGACACGGCCCAGACUCCUACGGGAGGCAGCAGUGGGGAAUAUUGCGCAAUGGGCGGAAGCCUGACGCAGCGACGCCGCGUGGGGGAUGACGGCCUUCGGGUUGUAAACCUCUUUCAGCAGGGACGAAGCGCAAGUGACGGUACCUGCAGAAGAAGCACCGGCCAACUACGUGCCAGCAGCCGCGGUAAUACGGAGGAUGCAAGCGUUAUCCGGAAUUAUUGGGCGUAAAGCGUCCGCAGGUGGCACUUCAAGUCUGCUGUCAAAGACCGGGGCUUAACCCUGGAAAGGCAGUGGAAACUGAAGCGCUAGAGUGUGGCAGGGGUAGAGGGAAUUCCCGGUGUAGCGGUGAAAUGCGUAGAGAUCGGGAAGAACAUCGGUGGCGAAAGCGCUCUACUGGGCCACAACUGACACUCAGGGACGAAAGCUAGGGGAGCGAAUGGGAUUAGAUACCCCCGUAGUCC